RNAcentral lists this ribosomal RNA (395 nucleotides) under uncultured bacterium. Its description in RNAcentral is "bacterial SSU rRNA". It matches the Rfam family "Bacterial small subunit ribosomal RNA", at positions 505 to 898 of the family's 1533-position model. The record is from RNAcentral.
GUGUCAGCCGCCGCGGUAAUACAGAGGUGGCAAGCGUUGUUCGGAAUUACUGGGCGUAAAGGGCGAGUAGGCGGCCUUCUAAGUCAGACGUGAAAUCCCCCGGCUUAACCUGGGAACUGCGUCUGAUACUGGGAGGCUAGAGUUUGGGAGAGGGAGGUAGAAUUCCAGGUGUAGCGGUGAAAUGCGUAGAUAUCUGGAGGAAUACCGGUGGCGAAGGCGGCCUCCUGGACCAAUACUGACGCUGAUCCGCGAAAGCUAGGGGAGCAAACGGGAUUAGAUACCCCGGUAGUCCUAGCCCUAAACGAUGAAUACUUGGUGUGGCGGGUAUCGAUCCCUGCCGUGCCGAAGCUAACGCAUUAAGUAUUCCGCCUGGGGAGUACGGUCGCAAGGCUGAA